Molecule: transfer RNA, 71 nt
Filed under: Ictidomys tridecemlineatus (thirteen-lined ground squirrel)
Lineage: Eukaryota; Metazoa; Chordata; Mammalia; Rodentia; Sciuridae
Description: Spermophilus tridecemlineatus (thirteen-lined ground squirrel) tRNA
Rfam family: tRNA
About the family: Transfer RNA (tRNA) molecules are approximately 80 nucleotides in length. Their secondary structure includes four short double-helical elements and three loops (D, anti-codon, and T loops).
Source: Rfam by way of RNAcentral
GGGGAUAUAGCUCAGUUGGUAGAGUGCUUGCCUCUCAUGCAAAAGGCCCUGGGUUCAAAUUCCCAGCACCA